CAGCUCUCCUGGGCUCGGUCCUCUCCACGUGGUCCCGACCGGCCCACAGCGAGCGAGAGAAAGGGACUGGUUUGGGGGUGUCCCACCCAAGUGGGCCUGGGCCACCACGGUUUCCGGUACGACA
This 124-nucleotide small nucleolar RNA is filed under the name Dasypus novemcinctus (nine-banded armadillo). RNAcentral's name for it is "Small Cajal body specific RNA 23 (ENSDNOG00000040502.1)". It matches the Rfam family "Small Cajal body specific RNA 23". From Rfam's summary of the family: scaRNAs are a specific class of small nuclear RNAs which localise to the Cajal bodies and guide the modification of RNA polymerase II transcribed spliceosomal RNAs U1, U2, U4, U5 and U12. ACA11 belongs to the H/ACA box class of guide RNAs as it has the predicted hairpin-hinge-hairpin-tail structure,the conserved H/ACA-box motifs and is found associated with GAR1. Lineage: Eukaryota; Metazoa; Chordata; Mammalia; Cingulata; Dasypodidae. The record is from RNAcentral.